RNAcentral lists this ribosomal RNA (236 nucleotides) under uncultured bacterium. Its description in RNAcentral is "partial 16S ribosomal RNA". It matches the Rfam family "Bacterial small subunit ribosomal RNA", at positions 105 to 334 of the family's 1533-position model. The record is from RNAcentral.
CCGACGGUGAGUAACACGUAUCCAACCUGCCGUCUACUCUUGGCCAGCCUUCUGAAAGGAAGAUUAAUCCAGGAUGGCAUCAUGAGUUCACAUGUCCGCAUGAUUAAAGGUAUUUUCCGGUAGACGAUGGGGAUGCGUUCCAUUAGAUAGUAGGCGGGGUAACGGCCCACCUAGUCAACGAUGGAUAGGGGUUCUGAGAGGAAGGUCCCCCACAUUGGAACUGAGACACGGUCCAA